ACAGGAGUGUCUGAUUCCCCUCUGGAUCUCUCCAAGUCACCUUUGCAUCCGAGUAUCCUCUCUUAGUUGCCUCAUUUCCUUAGGACGUAAUUUUACUCUCCUUUUUAAUGGCUCUGGCAGACUUCAUAGUGCGCUCGUAUCCAUCCGUUGUUUCUCAGCUGGUAUUCCCUGUAGCAGUCUCAUCUGUCAUUGCCAGCAAGUUUGUUCUUUUCUGAUAAAGGUGGAGGUUGUUCCUUCACCAAAAAAUAAGAAGUGUUCUUGAUCCUAAAUUUAAACGUUCCCCUGUACAGCAGUACCUUGAAACUGAGUCACUCUCCCUCCAGUAACCUAGCUGAAGGCAUUUCAGAGGAGGCUAUAGGAAGCACUCUGAAUUUUAUAUUCCCAACAUUUCAGUGUGAAAUGCUUCAAGACUUUUCUGCAUUCUGCGUUUCCUUAGGCCAGUUAUACUACAGUCUCUCACUCUCUCCCAGUUUCUGCAAAGACCUGUCCACAUGCCUCAUAAUCAGAUCCAGGACUGAUGAGACCAGGCACGGUGUAAACAAGCUGUUCUGCUGCAAGCGUCUCUUCACGGCAGCUUGGCAAAUGUGGGACCUUCCUCAUCAGUGUUCCAGUGUAAAAGGGACAAGACAGUGCCACGCGUGUACCUUCAUCUUUUCUGCCUCACAGACAGCUGCCUUGUCAAGCAAGUACUGA
RNAcentral lists this long non-coding RNA (693 nucleotides) under Struthio camelus australis. RNAcentral's name for it is "lncRNA (ENSSCUG00000018851.1)". The record is from RNAcentral. Lineage: Eukaryota; Metazoa; Chordata; Aves; Struthioniformes; Struthionidae.